CCUACGGGGGGCUGCAGUGGGGAAUAUUGGACAAUGGGGGCAACCCUGAUCCAGCCAUGCCGCGUGUGUGAAGAAGGCCCUCGGGUUGUAAAGCACUUUCAGUGAGGAAGAACGCCUGGUGGUUAAUACCCGUCAGGAAAGACAUCACUCACAGAAGAAGCACCGGCUAACUCCGUGCCAGCAGCCGCGGUAAUACGGAGGGUGCGAGCGUUAAUCGGAAUUACUGGGCGUAAAGCGCGCGUAGGUGGCUUGAUAAGCCGGUUGUGAAAGCCCCGGGCUCAACCUGGGAACGGCAUCCGGAACUGUCAAGCUAGAGUGCAGGAGAGGAAGGUAGAAUUCCCGGUGUAGCGGUGAAAUGCGUAGAGAUCGGGAGGAAUACCAGUGGCGAAGGCGGCCUUCUGGACUGACACUGACACUGAGGUGCGAAAGCGUGGGUAGCAAACAGGAUUAGAUACCCGAGUAGUC
This 465-nucleotide ribosomal RNA is filed under the name Vreelandella stevensii. Its description in RNAcentral is "partial 16S ribosomal RNA". It matches the Rfam family "Bacterial small subunit ribosomal RNA", at positions 338 to 795 of the family's 1533-position model. The record is from RNAcentral. Lineage: Bacteria; Pseudomonadati; Pseudomonadota; Gammaproteobacteria; Oceanospirillales; Halomonadaceae.